Molecule: ribosomal RNA, 475 nt
Filed under: uncultured organism
Description: partial 16S ribosomal RNA
Rfam family: Bacterial small subunit ribosomal RNA
Source: RNAcentral
ACACUCCUACGGGAGGCAGCAGUGGGGAAUUUUGGACAAUGGGCGAAAGCCUGAUCCAGCCAUGCCGCGUGCAGGAUGAAGGCCUUCGGGUUGUAAACUGCUUUUGUACGGAACGAAACGGCCUUUUCUAAUAAAGAGGGCUAAUGACGGUACCGUAAGAAUAAGCACCGGCUAACUACGUGCCAGCAGCCGCGGUAAUACGUAGGGUGCAAGCGUUAAUCGGAAUUACUGGGCGGAAAGCGUGCGCAGGCGGUUAUGUAAGACAGUUGUGAAAUCCCCGGGCUCAACCUGGGAACUGCAUCUGUGACUGCAUAGCUAGAGUACGGUAGAGGGGGAUGGAAUUCCGCGUGUAGCAGUGAAAUGCGUAGAUAUGCGGAGGAACACCGAUGGCGAAGGCAAUCCCCUGGACCUGUACUGACGCUCAUGCACGAAAGCGUGGGGAGCAAACAGGAUUAGAAACCCCUGUAGUCCCAUG